This 2514-nucleotide long non-coding RNA is filed under the name Sus scrofa (pig). RNAcentral describes it as "lncRNA (ENSSSCG00040064881.1)". The record is from RNAcentral. Lineage: Eukaryota; Metazoa; Chordata; Mammalia; Artiodactyla; Suidae.
CUGACAGUUUCAAACUGCAGUGAGGAAAUAAGGACGGCCCUGUGCAUUGGCCCAGAGCUUGAGCAACCUGCUGCCUGAUUGGCCCGAGGGCCAGGGGCGGGGCUCCGGAUGGUGGCGACCUGGAGAAGCCGGAAUUAAGUUACUCUGGGAGAGCCCCGCCCCCAGCUCGCGCCGGAUUUGAGGGGGCGGGGUCUUAGGGAGCCCCGCCCAGCGUUUGCGAGGCGGUGCUCAGUUCGAUUCUUUUUUUUUUUUNNNNNNNNNNNNNNNNNNNNNNNNUUUUAUUAAAUUUUAUUUUCCCACUGUACAGCAAGGGGGUCAGGUUAUCCUUACAUGUAUACAUUACAAUUACAGUUUUUUCUGAGGUGGCUUAGGAGGCAGAUUUUGUUAACGCCUGCGGAGCAGGGCUGAAGUCAGCUAGGGCGGAUCAAGAUGGUAAUGGGAGUGCCUCAAUCUGGAGAGCAAGUAAUGAGACCCUGCAUGUCCUCAGGUGACCUGUUGCUGAGACGUCAGAUUCCCCCAGAGACCCUACAGGUACCCAAGAUGGCUUCACCUCUCCUACUGCCCUGCUCUCUGUGCAGCUCUGCACUCCCAGACCCCUGCCGCAGGCACUGCCACUGGUGGUCCUGCUACAUCAGGGUGAAACCUCCCGGGUCAGAGACACUAAUGUCUCUGCUGAAUGCAUUGGUCCCUGCUGCUGGCAGAAUUGCUAGAGUCCUGCCUAUCAAUGUGGACACUGCUGGUGGCACUGAUGUGGUAAAGACUUCACAGCACAAUAGGGUCAGUGCUGAAGUGGGAAGGAUCUGUUUAUGUCUUUUGUCUUAAGCUUUUUAACUGGGUUCCAAGACAGAUCUUCCUGGUGUUGCCACUGACUAGAGAGAAUUUAGUUAAGGAACCUUUGGUUAGCUGCCUUCCUGAUCCCUGUUACAUAGAAUUAGUGCUGAGAAGUAGCUGUGCAUGUGUUUAAAAAACGUUCCGAGUCCUCCACCCUACCUCUGAAUGCAGAGGUAGGGACCUAGUUUCCCACAAUGUGAACAGAGCUGAUGUGUAUCAUUUCCAGGCCAAGGAGUUUAAGAAGUAGGUGUACCUCCUUUCUGGUCUUUCUUUCCUCUCUGUCUGGCUCAAAGACCUCAGGGAAUAUCAGAAUAUAGGAUGGAAGGAACCAGGACAUCCACUAUAGACUCUUCUAUAAGCAAGAAAUGUAUUUUCUACGCACUUAAAAUGAUUAAAACAGUAAGUUGCAUGUCACGUAUAGUUUACUUCAAUUAAAAAACCUAUUUCUACAGAGAUAAGUGACUGAAAAUUUGAGGUUUAUUUGUACAGCAGCUAAUGUUAUCCUGAUUGUUUCUCAGCUCCCCAAGUUUGUUCUAUUUUAGGCUUCGUUUCCCAGAACUCUGGUACAAGGCACACCCAGAGUGCAAUAGAAGCAACACUCAAAAUUCCUCCUCCCUUUUCACAUUGGCCCUUCGUCCUUGGGAAAUCUUUCUGUGUCUGGACCCCCUUAACACUGCUUUAAAGACCUUUCUAGAAACAGACUCNUAUAACUAUAAUUAUAUAGUUAUAUAUAUAUAUUAUAUAACUUGUCUUUUCCUAACCCUAACCCUAACCCCAGGGACAAGACCCCAGAGACAAGUUGCCUGGCUCUGAACCCCAGCUCCUUCCCUUUCUAGCUGUGUGACCCUAGGCAAGUUACUCACCCUCUGUGUGUCUCCAUUGUCUUAACUGCAAAUGGGGCAAUAACAUCACUUACCUUCAAAGGUUCUUGUGAGGAUCCAUGAGUCAAAAGAUACUGAAUACGCAAACCUGCCUGGAGUACACAUCCCUGCUACCUGUGUUAACUCUGCUACUAUUGAUAAUGUACCUUACAGCCCCUCCAGUCCUACUUACACAUGAGUGAAUCUUGGGAAAUAAUUUAAAUUUGAGCUGAGCUCAUUCCUACGAAAUAGUCAAAUGUCAUAUUAAUAAUAGAUCUAAUUUUCACAGAGAGAGAAAGGGCAGAUCCUUAUCUUUUGGAGUCUUAACCCCAAAGGUCCUUGAGUAUCUGUUAUGUAUCAAGCAAUGUGCCAGGCCAUUUCACAUAUAUUUUGCUAUUUGUCAUUACAAAAUUCUUCAUAAUUAAACCACUGGACAAGAAGAAUACAUUCACCAGAAAAAUUUAAUUUGAUGAAAUGAGGAAUCAUGAUGCAAUAUUAACUAUUCCUACAUAUUGCAAUAUUGUAUUGUAUAUUUAUCUCUAAAAUGUAGAAUUAUUUUUAGAAUAUUAUUUGUGCUUUAGAAUUUUUAUUAAUAAGAAAAAGGCAAAUAGAUAAAACCAGAUCAGUUAAAUAUUAUUUCUAUUUCAGAAGAAAAAUAACAUUAAAAAAUAUGAGAUUUUGCAAUCCUCCUCAAUUGUCACCUGUAUCUGUUUAAGAUAUAUGAUACAUAAUCCUAAUAUUAUAUAAAGCAUGCUCUAUUAUAUACCUUUAAAUAUAUAUAUAAUUCUAUUAAUAUGAAAGAAUAGAAAGUUCAUUUUAAAAG